This is a long non-coding RNA of Aedes albopictus (Asian tiger mosquito), 1146 nucleotides long. RefSeq lists it as uncharacterized. The record is from RefSeq and is a predicted model, not a curated record. NCBI's taxonomy places the organism in Eukaryota, Metazoa, Arthropoda, Insecta, Diptera, Culicidae. The transcript is spliced from 2 exons.
AAGGUUCAUAUUUUACCGUCUAUGCAUUUUAAGUACGCAUUUUUCAACUAGCUUAAAAUAAUGAAUUUUUGAUUUGAAGUACAUAAACGUGUUUUGCUAAAAGUAAUUAAUUGUUUAUUGAUUAUUAUUCAACAACAACCCCAAUAAUGAUGCUCAAUUUAAUUUUAGGAUUUAUUCCUAAAAUUCACAAUCACAUUGUCAUUGUAUAAACAGAUAGAAUAACACAAGUCACGAGUACAUAACACCCGAUACGAAAAAAAUAACUAUAACUUACAAUACUGCCAAAGCAAAAAAAAAAACGAAAAAAAACUUUGGCGAGGGUUCUCGAAGUCAAAGUAAAAAGCUAAAAGGGGAAAGCCCCAUUGAAGCUCAGUAAUGGCGCCAUACGUGCUAUUAUCUGAUCGUCUGAUUAGCAAGCGCUAUAUGAAAUUGUUGCACCAUGAUCUAGUUGCAAUGUACAAAUUGAUUUGUUCCUAAAUAGUUGGGUAGUCACUACGACCUUCUAGAAAGUCAACUAUAAAUACGACUCUGAUUGUAAUGCGUCUUACAUGCAAUGAGUUGUGGUGGAUCAGUUGGCACUAUAGGAUGAACUCCAUACUUUGAAGCAACAUUUAAAAGAAGAAGAAUCGUUGUCGGUAGAAAUCAUAACAUCGACAUAAAUAACGUCUGCAUAGCGCCCAUGUGAUUUGACGAACGUAAAUCAAGAUCCUUGACUUUUAAUUUUUAAUUGUCAUUUAACACUUGACAAAAAUAGACAAUUGAAACAAUAAAUCCCGGGAAAUUCGGGAAACCCGGGAUACAAAAAUUUGUUUCCCGGGAUUCGGGAAUCCCGGGAAAUUUCAUUUCCCGGGAAAUCCAUCCCGGAAUUGGAAGCCCUAGGGCCUAUGUUACGUGAAAACGGAGCAUAGUUAAUGAGUAAUAUACACAUAAAAAUCAUAAACAAAACAUAAGAGAAUCAUUGUCCAAAGGUUCCUUGAGAAAGGCACAAUAUAGUGACCGAAACGUCGGAUGAAAACUUAACAAUUCGUUUUUGAGUUUUUCUUCCAAGACUGAAAGCCAUAACCUCAAAACAAAAACAAUGUACUAGACAAUGUAUAUUUAUGUAAGUACUUUUGCAUUUCAACCAAUGUUCAUAUUUUUGAAAAA